AUUAGGGACCUUGGUUUAAUUUCCUGUUUUACUGCCCAAGGCCGAGCCCUUCUUUUCCCCAACCGAGCCGCCAGCGCCUAGGGUUAGUUCGCUGCUGCCGCCGCCACGAGCUCGCCUCUGCUGCUGUCUCGUGACUGCCCUGCUGCUUGUGCCGCAGUGGUUGCAGUCCUCGCUGCUCGCCGGCGUCUACAUGGGGAACUGCUGCCAGGUACUCCGUAUAAUGGCAUGCAUGGGCGGGAGUAGCAUCACUAGAUCUGGACAGCACACAGCACACGUUAUCCAUCAGAGUCAUAGUUUCAUUCUUAAUGCUAGAUAAAGUCAAUGUUAAGAACCCCUUUCUUAUACCUUUGUUGGUUGGAGACGCUAGUUGUUUGAGACUUCCUAUUUAGUUUCCUUGGAAUCAACUUAAUUAUUAUGAACGAUGUGCAUGAAUUUCUAGUUGCUAGAUAUAUUUGAGAGAUAUUAUAAAUUACCUGC
Molecule: long non-coding RNA, 477 nt
Organism: Brachypodium distachyon (stiff brome)
Lineage: Eukaryota; Viridiplantae; Streptophyta; Magnoliopsida; Poales; Poaceae
Exons: 2
Source: RefSeq, a predicted model, not a curated record